This 91-nucleotide transfer RNA is filed under the name Mycetocola zhadangensis. Its description in RNAcentral is "tRNA-Ser". The record is from RNAcentral. Lineage: Bacteria; Bacillati; Actinomycetota; Actinomycetes; Micrococcales; Microbacteriaceae.
GCAGCCGUACUUUAUGGUGCUGAGGCCUGACUCGCUGCGUCAGCCCGCAGUCGCCGUGGUUGCGGAUGCGCUCCGGGUGCGUGCGGCUGCG